UAAAAGUCCCAUCUCGGACAAAACUCUAAUAAACACGAAUUAAACCUAAGAGUUUUAAUUCGGAAGGUAGGAGAAGCUACAGAUGGAGUGUUAAUAAGGACUCGGGGGUUUCACAAUUCGUACGAAUUUGUUUUCUACACGGAGAUCAUUACGAUGUUCACCAUAAAAGGGACUCUUGACAUCUUUAAGAUUAUAUGAAUACUUUAGAUACCUUUCGAUGUUCUUUCAAUAAUUUUUCAGGGACAUUGUGAUCUUCAAUCUAACCUAAAUCCGUUGGAGUAUAAGGUAUUGUUACGAGCUUCGGUUAACACCUGCAAUUCUGCAAUCCUGCAUCAACUUUGAAUUUGAAGUUACCUAGCAGUAUUUUGAGAUUCGAGAAAGAUAAAGAUCAUAACUUGGUAUUGAAUUGUAACGGAGUGAAUCCAUGAUCGACAACAUAUAUUUUCUCUAAAUUGGUAAAGUAUCUCUUUCAAAGCUCUUGGAAGAGGUCUGAAAUUGAAACAACAAAUCUUUCCGGGAAAAGGGAUGCUUCAAGUUGCGUUUUAGUCUUUCAUCCAUUGCCGGGAGAGCUCAAAACGAUCCAAAUUCUCUUUCAUUGGUUCCUGUUUAAGGCAA
This is a long non-coding RNA of Papaver somniferum (opium poppy), 615 nucleotides long. RefSeq lists it as uncharacterized. NCBI's taxonomy places the organism in Eukaryota, Viridiplantae, Streptophyta, Magnoliopsida, Ranunculales, Papaveraceae. The record is from RefSeq and is a predicted model, not a curated record. The transcript has 3 exons.